CGCGGCGGGACGGCGGCGGCGGCGGCGGGGACGAGCGCCGGCCUGCAGGUCGCGGACCCUGACCGGAGGGAGGGCGGGGGCAGCGGUACGGGUCCACGUGGCGCGGCUGGGGCGCAGGGAGUCCUGGGGACGCACCAUCCCGGUUGGAGCCUCCGCUGGGCAAACACGCGCGGGGCCGCGGUAUUCGACUCAGCAUGAGCAAAGUGCCCUGCAAAAAACGUGAUGACUAUUUGGAGUGGCCUGAGUAUUUCAUGGCAGUGGCCUUCCUGUCAGCACAGAGGAGCAAAGAUCCAAAUUCCCAGGUCGGAGCCUGCAUCGUGAAUGCAGAAAAUAAGAUUGUGGGCAUCGGGUACAAUGGAAUGCCCAAUGGGUGCAGUGAUGACCUCUUGCCUUGGAGGAGGACAGCAGAGAACAUCCUGGACACCAAAUACCCUUACGAAUUCUAAUUUCUCCGAUGUCACCUCAGCAUCCCUCCCCUGCCCAGCCAUCCAGUAGCUGUGGCCUGACGAGCACAGAGUGCCUCAUCCUGUUCUUCAUCCUGAAUUCCUCUCAGGGGUUGGUCGGUCAGCAGUGCCUAAUUACUUGACCUUGUAGAACAGAAUGGUGGGCAACAUUCUUUGUUUUACAGCCUCACCCCUCCUGGAAGAAGUGUGCCACGCCGAGCUGAAUGCCAUCAUGAACAAAAACUCGGCGGACGUGAAAGGCUGUACCAUGUAUGUCGCCUUGUUCCCGUGUAAUGAAUGUGCUAAGCUCAUCAUCCAGGCAGGGAUAAAAGAAGUUAUUUUCAUGUCUGAUAAAUACCACGAUAGCAAUGAGACAACAGCGGCGAGGCUCAUGUUUGAAAUGGCCGGGGUUUCCUUCAGGAAAUUCACACCAAAGUGCAGCCAGAUUGUCAUUGACUUUGAUUCAAUUAACAGCAGAGCGAGUGAGACACUCCAGUGAGUGACACGUCAUUGCAUCUCCAGAUCGGGAUUAUCCUCUUCUAAGAAGCUCUAAUGCCUUUCAUCUGGAAGUUAUACAGAACUUUUUAAUAGCCAGGGCAGCACACGUCCACAUCUGAAGAACAUAAGACCUCCAAUCUUCCCGACUCUCUCCCGUCACCUAGAAUCAGCAUCUGUUGAAAUUACUGAUCGAGGGUUUCAAAGAAAGGAGCUGUGGAUGACCUGUCUCGAAGGUUUGGAGCGGGCGCCUUCCCUCCUGUCCCCUGGUUUGCUGGGAUACUUGUGGCUCUGCAGAAGGGCGUCAGCUGUGUGUCGUGCACUGCGUUUCACAGCUGCUCUUCAACACUCCCUGUGCUGGAAGGACUGAUGAAUCAUUGCAGUUGUGUUCCUAGCUGGAUGAGCAGACACCCCAGUCCAAACAUCUGGCUCAAGUGAAGCAUAACGUGUGAUGCCUUUGGGAGAAAAAAGGGAUCCAUAAGGCAUUAGCAUUUAAGCAUUUGCUUUAGGGAGUUGAGGGAACCAACACCCAACCACCUGAAACACCUGGAUGGGGGGGGCCACAUCUGUCCCGACAGACAAUGAGCAUAACUGAGCCUGCGAUUCUUUCUCCACUUCUGUUGACCUGCUACCCACAGGGUAGUGGCACGGUAUCCCUCUGGGUCUGGAGACCUCCAUUGUUUUAUUUUUUGGCUGCCCCUGUGGCAUGCGGAAGUUUUUGGGCCAGAGAUUGAAUCCAUGCCACAGCAGUGACCUGAGCCCCCAGCAGUGACAACACCGGACUGCUGACUCACUGAGCCACCAGGGAACUCCCAGACCCCUGUUCUUCUCAUCUUUGGUUUGUUGGUGGCACAGACCUGUUACAUUAGUUUUUCUGGAUAAUGAGUAGUUCCCAGAGGAGGCAGCCUGUCUCCUGGUGUCACCCCAGGACCAUGUCCUUCCAUGGAGCGGGUGGUAUGGGUAGGGGCUGAGCACGCACCUGCUGUUCCACUGACCAGUAGUGCAGUAGUGUUCAUUUUCAAGGCUGCUCUAGCCUAUCCUAAAGUGAAACGGGAGAGAGCUCAACCCAUCUCCAGGCGUUUCUUCCAGAUCUGUGUGUGAUGGGAGCUUGCUUGUCCUCCUGGCCCCCUGCCGUCCUCAACACAAAUCUCACCCUCCUAAUCACUGCAAUUUGGGGAAUGGGUAGCCGGGCACCUUGUCUUUAAUCUCAUUUAGUUUUUAUUAGACGUGCUCAGUACUUUUGUUGAGAAAAUGGUUUCUUUAUCCUAAAGAUUAUGACUGUUUAAAGUGCUCUUACAUUUUUAUGAGUUUUUAUUUUGUCUCUGAGGUUUUGUACUCCAUGUUCUGGGGUAUUCGUAAUUUGGCUCCUGACCACAGUUAUUAAAAUCUUAUUAAAAUCCA
Molecule: non-coding RNA, 2339 nt
Organism: Sus scrofa (pig)
Lineage: Eukaryota; Metazoa; Chordata; Mammalia; Artiodactyla; Suidae
Source: RefSeq, a predicted model, not a curated record